AACGAACGCUGGCGGCAGGUCUUAGGCAUGCAAGUCGAGCGGACUUUCAAGAAGCUUGCUUUUUGAAAGUUAGCGGCGGACGGGUGAGUAACACGUGGGCAACCUGCCUGUAAGACGGGGAUAACUCCGGGAAACCGGGGCUAAUACCGGAUAAUAUCUUUCUUCGCAUGAAGGAAGGUUGAAAGGCGGCGCAAGCUGCCGCUUGCAGAUGGGCCCGCGGCGCAUUAGCUAGUUGGUGAGGUAACGGCUCACCAAGGCGACGAUGCGUAGCCGACCUGAGAGGGUGAUCGGCCACACUGGGACUGAGACACGGCCCAGACUCCUACGGGAGGCAGCAGAAGGGAAUCUUCCGCAAUGGACGAAAGUCUGACGGAGCAACGCCGCGUGAGCGAAGAAGGUCUUCGGAUCGUAAAGCUCUGUUGUCAGGGAAGAACAAGUACCGUUCGAAUAGGGCGGUACCUUGACGGUACCUGACCAGAAAGCCACGGCUAACUACGUGCCAGCCGCCGCCGUAA
RNAcentral lists this ribosomal RNA (515 nucleotides) under uncultured bacterium. RNAcentral describes it as "partial 16S ribosomal RNA". It matches the Rfam family "Bacterial small subunit ribosomal RNA", at positions 29 to 523 of the family's 1533-position model. The record is from RNAcentral.